This 2438-nucleotide ribosomal RNA is filed under the name Salmonella enterica subsp. enterica serovar Typhimurium str. DT104. RNAcentral describes it as "bacterial LSU rRNA". It matches the Rfam family "Bacterial large subunit ribosomal RNA", at positions 593 to 2925 of the family's 2925-position model. The record is from RNAcentral. Lineage: Bacteria; Pseudomonadati; Pseudomonadota; Gammaproteobacteria; Enterobacterales; Enterobacteriaceae.
GUGACUGCGUACCUUUUGUAUAAUGGGUCAGCGACUUAUAUUCUGUAGCAAGGUUAACCGUAUAGGGGAGCCGGAGGGAAACCGAGUCUUAACCGGGCGUUAAGUUGCAGGGUAUAGACCCGAAACCCGGUGAUCUAGCCAUGGGCAGGUUGAAGGUUGGGUAACACUAACUGGAGGACCGAACCGACUAAUGUUGAAAAAUUAGCGGAUGACCUGUGGCUGGGGGUGAAAGGCCAAUCAAACCGGGAGAUAGCUGGUUCUCCCCGAAAGCUAUUUAGGUAGCGCCUCGUGAAUUCAUCUCCGGGGGUAGAGCACUGUUUCGGCUAGGGGGCCAUCCCGGCUUACCAACCCGAUGCAAACUGCGAAUACCGGAGAAUGUUAUCACGGGAGACACACGGCGGGUGCUAACGUCCGUCGUGAAGAGGGAAACAACCCAGACCGCCAGCUAAGGUCCCAAAGUCAUGGUUAAGUGGGAAACGAUGUGGGAAGGCCCAGACAGCCAGGAUGUUGGCUUAGAAGCAGCCAUCAUUUAAAGAAAGCGUAAUAGCUCACUGGUCGAGUCGGCCUGCGCGGAAGAUGUAACGGGGCUAAACCAUGCACCGAAGCUGCGGCAGCGAACGUAUCACCCAAGACAACUUUACGGAGUUGACGAUUGACGGAGCGAAGCGACGUCAAAGCGUUCAUUAAAGUCGAGUUGGCUUAGGGAUACGUUCGUUGGGUAGGGGAGCGUUCUGUAAGCCUGUGAAGGUGUGUCGUGAGGCAUGCUGGAGGUAUCAGAAGUGCGAAUGCUGACAUAAGUAACGAUAAAGCGGGUGAAAAGCCCGCUCGCCGGAAGACCAAGGGUUCCUGUCCAACGUUAAUCGGGGCAGGGUGAGUCGACCCCUAAGGCGAGGCCGAAAGGCGUAGUCGAUGGGAAACGGGUUAAUAUUCCCGUACUUGGUGUUACUGCGAAGGGGGGACGGAGAAGGCUAUGUUGGCCGGGCGACGGUUGUCCCGGUUUAAGCGUGUAGGUGUGUGUUCCAGGUAAAUCCGGUUCACUUUAACACUGAGGCGUGACGACGAGGCACUACGGUGCUGAAGCAACAAAUGCCCUGCUUCCAGGAAAAGCCUCUAAGCAUCAGGUAACACGAAAUCGUACCCCAAACCGACACAGGUGGUCAGGUAGAGAAUACCAAGGCGCUUGAGAGAACUCGGGUGAAGGAACUAGGCAAAAUGGUGCCGUAACUUCGGGAGAAGGCACGCUGACACGUAGGUGAAGUGAUUUACUCAUGGAGCUGAAGUCAGUCGAAGAUACCAGCUGGCUGCAACUGUUUAUUAAAAACACAGCACUGUGCAAACACGAAAGUGGACGUAUACGGUGUGACGCCUGCCCGGUGCCGGAAGGUUAAUUGAUGGGGUCAGCGCAAGCGAAGCUCCUGAUCGAAGCCCCGGUAAACGGCGGCCGUAACUAUAACGGUCCUAAGGUGCGAAAUUCCCUUGUCGGGUAAGUUCCGACCUGCACGAAUGGCGUAAUGAUGGCCAGGCUGUCUCCACCCGAGACUCAGUGAAAUUGAACUCGCUGUGAAGAUGCAGUGUACCCGCGGCAAGACGGAAAGACCCCGUGAACCUUUACUAUAGCUUGACACUGAACAUUGAGCCUUGAUGUGUAGGAUAGGUGGGAGGCUUUGAAGUGUGGACGCCAGUCUGCAUGGAGCCGACCUUGAAAUACCACCCUUUAAUGUUUGAUGUUCUAACGUGGACCCGUAAUCCGGGUUGCGGACAGUGUCUGGUGGGUAGUUUGACUGGGGCGGUCUCCUCCUAAAGAGUAACGGAGGAGCACGAAGGUUGGCUAAUCCUGGUCGGACAUCAGGAGGUUAGUGCAAUGGCAUAAGCCAGCUUGACUGCGAGCGUGACGGCGCGAGCAGGUGCGAAAGCAGGUCAUAGUGAUCCGGUGGUUCUGAAUGGAAGGGCCAUCGCUCAACGGAUAAAAGGUACUCCGGGGAUAACAGGCUGAUACCGCCCAAGAGUUCAUAUCGACGGCGGUGUUUGGCACCUCGAUGUCGGCUCAUCACAUCCUGGGGCUGAAGUAGGUCCCAAGGGUAUGGCUGUUCGCCAUUUAAAGUGGUACGCGAGCUGGGUUUAGAACGUCGUGAGACAGUUCGGUCCCUAUCUGCCGUGGGCGCUGGAGAACUGAGGGGGGCUGCUCCUAGUACGAGAGGACCGGAGUGGACGCAUCACUGGUGUUCGGGUUGUCAUGCCAAUGGCACUGCCCGGUAGCUAAAUGCGGAAGAGAUAAGUGCUGAAAGCAUCUAAGCACGAAACUUGCCCCGAGAUGAGUUCUCCCUGAGACUUAGAGUCUCCUGAAGGAACGUUGAAGACGACGACGUUGAUAGGCCGGGUGUGUAAGCGCAGCGAUGCGUUGAGCUAACCGGUACUAAUGAACCGUGAGGCUUAACCUU